CUGAAUUUUCUGGGAUUUCUAUUCUUCUUGUAAAACUUCAUUUGCUCUGAUGCAAAGCAAGCCAGGCAGAGUGAGCUGUGACUCUUUUCUUCCCUCGCUGUCUGCCUUUCUGGCAUCACUUUCUCCCAUAAACUGGACUCUUAAGUGGAGACAGUGCAUCCAAGCAAAAGGCCACUAAGGAUCAGAGGGAAAAAAAUCAGCACAUCAAAGGUACAGGGCAGGGAGCAGCACAUGGGCAGAUCUGUCCUGCAGUAGGUAUGAGAUCAAACAGCUCCAGAAGUGAAGCACAGUUAAAAGCACAGAACAAAAACCACCAAAAGACCAAGAGCAACAAUAGAGUG
This is a long non-coding RNA of Apus apus (common swift), 341 nucleotides long. RefSeq lists it as uncharacterized. The transcript is spliced from 3 exons. The record is from RefSeq and is a predicted model, not a curated record. Lineage: Eukaryota; Metazoa; Chordata; Aves; Apodiformes; Apodidae.